This 254-nucleotide ribosomal RNA is filed under the name uncultured prokaryote. RNAcentral's name for it is "partial 16S ribosomal RNA". It matches the Rfam family "Bacterial small subunit ribosomal RNA", at positions 524 to 776 of the family's 1533-position model. The record is from RNAcentral.
UACGGAGGAUGCAAGCGUUAUCCGGAAUUAUUGGGCGUAAAGGGUCCGUAGAUGGCUCUUCAAGUCUGCUGUCAAAGCGUAGGGCUUAACCCUAUAAAGGCAGUGGAAACUGAAAGAGCUAGAGUGCGGUAGAGGUAGAGGGAAUUCCCAGUGUAGCGGUGAAAUGCGUAGAGAUUGGGAAGAACACCGGCGGCGAAAGCGCUCUACUGGACCUGCACUGACAUUGAGGGACGAAAGCUAGGGGAGCGAAAGGG